Molecule: ribosomal RNA, 376 nt
Filed under: uncultured bacterium
Lineage: Bacteria
Description: bacterial SSU rRNA
Rfam family: Bacterial small subunit ribosomal RNA
Source: RNAcentral
AUACGUAGGGAGCGAGCGUUGUCCGGAUUUACUGGGUGUAAAGGGUGCGUAGGCGGCUUUUUAAGUCAGGUGUGAAAACCGUGGGCUUAACUCACGGAUUGCAUUUGAAACUGAGGGGCUUGAGUGGAGCAGAGGCAGGCGGAAUUCCCGGUGUAGCGGUGAAAUGCGUAGAGAUCGGGAGGAACACCAGUGGCGAAGGCGGCCUGCUGGGCUUUAACUGACGCUGAGGCACGAAAGCAUGGGUAGCAAACAGGAUUAGAUACCCUGGUAGUCCAUGCCGUAAACGAUGAUUACUAGGUGUGGGUGGUCUGACCCCAUCCGUGCCGGAGUUAACACAAUAAGUAAUCCACCUGGGGAGUACGACCGCAAGGUUGAA